UACGAAGGGGGCUAGCGUUGCUCGGAAUCACUGGGCGUAAAGCGCACGUAGGCGGAUCGCUAAGUCAGAGGUGAAAUCCUGGAGCUCAACUCCAGAACUGCCUUUGAUACUGGCAAUCUCGAGUCCGGGAGAGGUAAGUGGAACUGCGAGUGUAGAGGUGAAAUUCGUAGAUAUUCGCAAGAACACCAGUGGCGAAGGCGGCUCACUGGCCCGGUACUGACGCUGAGGUGCGAAAGCGUGGGGAGCAAACAGG
This 253-nucleotide ribosomal RNA is filed under the name uncultured bacterium. Its description in RNAcentral is "partial 16S ribosomal RNA". It matches the Rfam family "Bacterial small subunit ribosomal RNA", at positions 524 to 776 of the family's 1533-position model. The record is from RNAcentral.